AAUAGAUACCCGGGUAGUCCACGCCGUAAACGAUGAGUGCUAAGUGUUAGAGGGUUUCCGCCCUUUAGUGCUGAAGUUAACGCAUUAAGCACUCCGCCUGGGGAGUACGGCCGCAAGGCUGAAACUCAAAGGAAUUGACGGGGGGCCCGCACAAGCGGUGGAGCAUGUGGUUUAAUUCGAAGCAACGCGAAGAACCUUACCAGGUCUUGACAUCCUCUGACAACCCUAGAGAUAGGGCUUCCCCCUUCGGGGGCAGAGUGACAGGUGGUGCAUGGUUGUCGUCAGCUCGUGUCGUGAGAUGUUGGGUUAAGUCCCGCAACGAGCGCAACCCUUGAUCUUAGUUGCCAUCAUUAAGUUGGGCACUCUAAGGUGACUGCCGGUGACAAACCGGAGGAAGGUGGGGAUGACGUCAAAUCAUCAUGCCCCUUAUGACCUGGGCUACACACGUGCUACAAUGGACGGUACAAAGAGCCGCAAGACCGCGAGGUGGAGCUAAUCUCAUAAAACCGUUCUCAGUUCGGAUUGUAGG
RNAcentral lists this ribosomal RNA (529 nucleotides) under uncultured bacterium. RNAcentral describes it as "bacterial SSU rRNA". It matches the Rfam family "Bacterial small subunit ribosomal RNA", at positions 777 to 1304 of the family's 1533-position model. The record is from RNAcentral.